This 433-nucleotide ribosomal RNA is filed under the name uncultured bacterium. RNAcentral's name for it is "partial 16S ribosomal RNA". It matches the Rfam family "Bacterial small subunit ribosomal RNA", at positions 29 to 507 of the family's 1533-position model. The record is from RNAcentral.
AACGAACGCUGGCGGCAUGCCUAACACAUGCAAGUCGAACGAGACCUUCGGGUCUAGUGGCGCACGGGUGCGUCACGCGUGGGAACCUGCCCUUAGGCUCGGAAUAACUCCCCGAAAGGGGUGCUAAUACCGGAUAAUGUCUUCGGACCAAAGAUUUAUCGCCAUUGGAUGGGCCCGCGUUGGAUUAGCUUGUUGGUAGGGUAAAAGCCUACCAAGGCGACGAUCCAUAGCUGGUCUGAGAGGAUGAUCAGCCACACUGGGACUGAGACACGGCCCAGACUCCUACGGGAGGCAGCAGUGGGGAAUAUUGGACAAUGGGCGAAAGCCUGAUCCAGCAAUGCCGCGUGAGUGAUGAAGGCCUUAGGGUUGUAAAGCUCUUUUACCCGGGAUGAUAAUGACAGUACCGGGAGAAUAAGCUCCGGCUAACUCCGUG